GUGAGGAAUUUUCCGCAAUGGGCGAAAGCCUGACGGAGCAAUGCCGCGUGAAGGAUGAAGGCCUAUGGGUUGUAAACUUCUUUUCUCAGAAAAGAAUUAUGACGGUAUCUGAGGAAUAAGCAUCGGCUAACUCUGUGCCAGCAGCCGCGGUAAGACAGAGGAUGCAAGCGUUAUCCGGAAUGAUUGGGCGUAAAGCGUCUGUAGGUUGUUUAAAAAGUAUUCUGUCAAAGAUUAGGGCUUAACCCUAGAUGGGCAGAAUAAACUUUUAAGCUAGAGUUUGGUAGAGGCAGAGGGAAUUCCCGGUGGAGCGGUGAAAUGCGUAGAUAUCGGGAGGAACACCAAAGGCGAAGGCACUCUGCUGGGCCAAUACUAACACUGAGAGACGAAAGCGAGGGGAGCAAAUGGGAUUAGAAACCCGGGUAGUCC
RNAcentral lists this ribosomal RNA (426 nucleotides) under uncultured bacterium. Its description in RNAcentral is "bacterial SSU rRNA". It matches the Rfam family "Bacterial small subunit ribosomal RNA", at positions 354 to 796 of the family's 1533-position model. The record is from RNAcentral.